GGACAUUCAACUAUGUGAGUUAUACAUUUUGAAUGUGCUUUUACGUCAGUGUGACAGAUUCACAAUACCGAGCGUUUCUCAAACGGUCCUGCGGUUUUAUCUGCCUAACGGUAUCUUCACGCACGACUGGAUAGGCCUUUUGGAUACGCUUGUCCAAGGCCCAAGACAUAAAGUAGCCUGCAAUCAUUCCAUUGCUGACCCAUCGGAUGGUUAUCACAUAGAGGAUUGGCUUAAUCUAGAAUCAUGGAUACCUUUCAUAUCUGCGCAUCACAAGUUGGAACUAGUGGUCAAAAUUGGGACAAUGUUGCCCAAAAUAAAUGUUUUCAUGGAGUGAACAAGACCUGCCAACAGAGCUCACUGGAGCAGGGAGAAAUCCCCGUCAUCCCUUCGGCACCUGACAAA
Molecule: long non-coding RNA, 402 nt
Organism: Coregonus clupeaformis (lake whitefish)
Lineage: Eukaryota; Metazoa; Chordata; Actinopteri; Salmoniformes; Salmonidae
Exons: 4
Source: RefSeq, a predicted model, not a curated record